ACCUGGGUGGCUCAGUUAGUUAAGCAUCUGACUUUGGCUCAGGUCAUGAUCUCACAGUUCGUGAGUUCAAGUCCCACAUCAGGUA
This 85-nucleotide transfer RNA is filed under the name Felis catus (domestic cat). It matches the Rfam family "tRNA". Rfam says of the family: Transfer RNA (tRNA) molecules are approximately 80 nucleotides in length. Their secondary structure includes four short double-helical elements and three loops (D, anti-codon, and T loops). Lineage: Eukaryota; Metazoa; Chordata; Mammalia; Carnivora; Felidae. The record is from Rfam by way of RNAcentral.